AAAAGUCAAUAAAAUGCUCCGCAGGGCGCAGCUUGAUACGACCGCAGAGUUCGAACCCUGAACAGUUGGGGGAAGUAUGGACACAACAUUCAAGCUUGAUACAGCUUUGGAUUUGGAUUGUGAUUAAAUAUUUGACACAGCAUAGGUUUCUGACACAGAAUGAAUGUGGUCUAAGAACUUAAAAA
Molecule: long non-coding RNA, 185 nt
Organism: Mytilus californianus (California mussel)
Lineage: Eukaryota; Metazoa; Mollusca; Bivalvia; Mytilida; Mytilidae
Exons: 2
Source: RefSeq, a predicted model, not a curated record